AUAUCUCUGUAGAGUCUGCAUAUCAAUAAGCGGAGGAAAAGAAACUAACAAGGAUUCCCUUAGUAACGGCGAGUGAAGCGGGAAGAGCUCAAAUUUGAAAUCUUCAAGGUUUUACCUUGACGAAUUGUAGUUUAAAGAAGUGUUUUCUGUUGAAGUUUCGGUAAAAGUUCUUUGGAAUAGGACAUCAUAGAGGGUGAGAAUCCCGUAUUUGACCGUUAUUUUCAGCUGUGUGAUACACUUUCAAAGAGUCGGAUUGUUUGGGAAUGCAGUCCAAAAUGGGUGGUAAAUUUCAUCUAAAGCUAAAUAUUGGCGAGAGACCGAUAGCGAACAAGUACCGUGAGGGAAAGAUGAAAAGAACUUUGGAAAAGAGAGUUAAACAGUACGUGAAAUUGUCAAAAGGGAAGCGUUUGACACCAGUGUUGUUUUCUCGAAAAUCAAUUAAAAAUGGCUUGAUUUUGUGUUGUAUUGACCUUAAAAGCUUUCUUCACUUUUUUCAUGUCUUUUUUAAUGCACUUUUCGUUUAACAAGUCAACAUCAGUUUCUUUUGUUGUAAAAAGGUCAUUGGAAGGUGGCUUUCUUUUCGGAGAAAGUGUUUAUAGCCUUUGACUUCUGCAAUCGGAGAACUGAGGUCUGCAGCGUAGAUCCUUCUGGAUUAGAUUCAUUUGUGCUAAGUUACAACCGUUUAUAGACAACUUGUUGACUAUAUUCGAUCCUGUAGCUUACUCGCUUAUGUAAUUUUACCUACGCUUAGGAUGUUGAUAUGCAUGACUGAUAU
This 775-nucleotide ribosomal RNA is filed under the name uncultured Neocallimastigales. Its description in RNAcentral is "partial large subunit ribosomal RNA". It matches the Rfam family "Eukaryotic large subunit ribosomal RNA", at positions 24 to 634 of the family's 3401-position model. The record is from RNAcentral. Lineage: Eukaryota; Fungi; Neocallimastigomycota; Neocallimastigomycetes; Neocallimastigales.